GAUGGAGGUCGAAUACCCCAGGGGCUCCCGGAGAACAGACCCGCGCAUCAUCUGAUGGGGUGAAGGGUUGGGGAGAGGAAAGGAGGAGAGCGCAAGAGGAGUCUGGCGCCUGCGCCAUUAAAUCGCCCCGGACCGCCCGGAGCCCGGCCGUGGAGUCUGCGGACAGGGGCGCGGGGAUUACAGAAAGCCUCCCAAUUGGACCUUAGUCACCAUCAACAGGUACCACUGCUCACCUGGGGACAGGUGCUACCUCAAGGGCAAUCAGAGUGCGGAGCGCUGAGAAGGUUGCUUCAUUUCUUGGAGACUUGGCAUGACACAUAUUAGGCAGCAUCACUCUAAGCCCCUGGAAACUGGGAGCCCAGGAGCCACACCAGGUCCUAAUGAAAUUCCAAGGCAAGGACGGUAAUGACCAAGGAGCUAACUGAUCGGAAUGGUCUCUCCUCUCAGCAAGCGGGACACGGUGUUCUGUGGCCGUGCCCGCUGCCGGCCAAGGCUGCCUUCCAGGAGAGACUCCUCCCGGGCGUGUGCAGGGGGUCGGCCUCAGCGGGCGUGGCUCCAUUGGUUUUGAGGUGAAGGGGCUAUUUUCUAGGCUUUCAUCCUAAGAACUGUAAAAUGGAGACAACAUGGGACUUCACUCAACCCUGUCUGUUAGAAAUAGUGACAAUUCUUGAAUUAAGAAUUAAGAGCAUUUAGGAGAGUGGCCUAGUAAUAACAAAUGACAGGCUAAUAUUUAUUGUGUUGAUUGUGUCAGGCACUAUUCUAAGCACUUUUUCAUGUGUCAUCUAACUGAAGUUUUCAACUUUAUGCCGGAGGUGUGGGUAUUAUUCGGGUGGUCCAUCUGUAUUUCCCGGGUCCUUUCAUCUGCAUCCACUCCUGUGGUUGCCUGGCACACCUUCUCCUCUCUCCCUAAGCCUCUGCACCACCUUCCUCAUUCUCGCUCUCACCCGAUGACUUCUCUGAGAAACGAAAAGCAACCAGAGCAGAGCUUCCGCACCUGCAUAUCUUCUACCACCGUGUUGCGUCAACACGAUACCAUCUACCCUCCCUCUCAUCCAUUCCCCUGGACGAGCUGCAGCCCUGGAACUUGUGCACUAGACUGUCCCUGGCCUCGCCUACUCCAGGGCAGUGGUUCAGCCCUGCUCCUCUCCUGCAUCAUCAAAAUGUUGCUCUCUGCUUGUUCCCUCCCAGCAGCCUGCCAACACACUUUAAUUUCUCCUACUUUAAAAAAUUCGUCUCUUCACAGAUGUAGAGAACAAACGUAUG
Molecule: long non-coding RNA, 1263 nt
Organism: Globicephala melas (long-finned pilot whale)
Lineage: Eukaryota; Metazoa; Chordata; Mammalia; Artiodactyla; Delphinidae
Source: RefSeq, a predicted model, not a curated record